This 468-nucleotide ribosomal RNA is filed under the name uncultured bacterium. RNAcentral's name for it is "partial 16S ribosomal RNA". It matches the Rfam family "Bacterial small subunit ribosomal RNA", at positions 28 to 507 of the family's 1533-position model. The record is from RNAcentral.
GACGAACGCUGGCGGCGUGCUUAACACAUGCAAGUCGAACGGAAAGGCCCUGCUUUUGUGGGGUGCUCGAGUGGCGAACGGGUGAGUAACACGUGAGUAACCUGCCCUUGACUUUGGGAUAACUUCAGGAAACUGGGGCUAAUACCGGAUAGGAGCUCCUGCUGCAUGGUGGGGGUUGGAAAGUUUCGGCGGUUGGGGAUGGACUCGCGGCUUAUCAGCUUGUUGGUGGGGUAGUGGCUUACCAAGGCUUUGACGGGUAGCCGGCCUGAGAGGGUGACCGGCCACAUUGGGACUGAGAUACGGCCCAGACUCCUACGGGAGGCAGCAGUGGGGAAUAUUGCACAAUGGGCGGAGGCCUGAUGCAGCAACGCCGCGUGCGGGAUGACGGCCAUCGGGUUGUAAACCGCUUUCGCCUGUGACGAAGCGUGAGUGACGGUAAUGGGUAAAGAAGCACCGGCUAACUACGUG